UAGAAAGUAGUAUAAAGGAAUUACGAAGAACUUUGACUUCUUUAAUAUAAGUUCAAAUCUUAUCUUUCUAA
RNAcentral lists this transfer RNA (71 nucleotides) under Luidia sp. 2-EK-2003. RNAcentral describes it as "tRNA-Gln". It matches the Rfam family "tRNA". Rfam says of the family: Transfer RNA (tRNA) molecules are approximately 80 nucleotides in length. The record is from RNAcentral. Lineage: Eukaryota; Metazoa; Echinodermata; Asteroidea; Paxillosida; Luidiidae.